Molecule: long non-coding RNA, 718 nt
Organism: Eriocheir sinensis (Chinese mitten crab)
Lineage: Eukaryota; Metazoa; Arthropoda; Malacostraca; Decapoda; Varunidae
Exons: 2
Source: RefSeq, a predicted model, not a curated record
AGGUGUUACUUGCAUCCUGAGUGUUGCAGGGUGUGGCUGUUACUCUGCACUCGUGUACCCAGGCAGGUUUUUACACACCUUUUCAGGCACUUGUGUACCCAGGCAGGUUUUUACACACCUUUUCAGGCACUUGUGUACCCAGGCAGGUUUUUACACACCUUUUCAGGCACUGGUGUACCCAGGCAGGUUUUUACACACCUUUUCAGGCACUCGUGUACCCAGGCAGGUUUUUACACACCUUUUCAGGCACUUGUGUACCCAGGCAGGUUUUUACACACCUUUUCAGGCACUUGUGUACCCAGGCAGGUUUUUACACACCUUUUCAGGCACUUGUGUACCCAGGCAGGUUUUUACACACCUUUUCAGGCACUUGUGUACCCAGGCAGGUUUUUACACACCUUUUCAGGCACUUGUGUACCCAGGCAGGUUUUUACACACCUUUUCAGGCACUUGUGUACCCAGGCAGGUUUUUACACACCUUUUCAGGCACUUGUGUACCCAGGCAGGUUUUUACACACCUUUUCAGGCAAGGUAUUUUGCUUUCAUAUCUUCACCUUAGUUUCAGGAUGUCAUUUUCACCUUUUGUAGAUUUUUUGUAUAUUGCAAACAUUUAUUUUACUAAACUUCUACAAAUUUUGGUGAUUUUCCUUCCAUACUCUGUCUUUCACUACAGUGGUAAUAUAUGUAUAUCUCCAUAGUAAAACUCUAAUGCUAAUAA